UUAAUAAUUUUACAAAUAAUCAGACAAUAGGUUACAAAAGAGUUUUGUGGUCCUCUGGCAGGCACUGACCAGCAAAUUUGCCAGUGGCCUUAAGACGGGCCUGCCAAAGCAACAAAGUAUUGUAAACAAAGGGUGGGAGAUAUACCCCAAAGGGCAUUUUCUCUGUAAUGAUCCUUCCGCAGGUUCACCUACGGAAA
Molecule: unclassified non-coding RNA, 197 nt
Filed under: uncultured fungus
Lineage: Eukaryota; Fungi
Description: sequence contains ITS1
Source: RNAcentral